UUAGGAAUUUUGCGCAAUGGGAGAAAUCCUGACGCAGCAACGCCGCGUGAGUGAUGAAGGCCUUCGGGUUGUAAAGCUCUUUUAGUGGGGACGAAAUAAAUGACGGUACCCGCAGAAAAAGCACCGGCUAACUCUGUGCCAGCAGCCGCGGUAAUACAGAGGGUGCAAGCGUUAUUCGGAAUUACUGGGCGUAAAGCGCAUGUAGGCGGUUCGGUAAGUCUGAUGUGAAAUCCCCCGGCUCAAUCGGGGAAGUGCAUCGGAUACUGCCGGACUGGAGUACAGGAGGGGAGAACGGAAUUCCAGGUGUAGAGGUGAAAUUCGUAGAUAUCUGGAGGAACAACGGCGGCGAAGGCGGUUCUCUGGACUGUAACUGACGCUGAGAUGCGAAAGCGUGGGGAGCAAACA
RNAcentral lists this ribosomal RNA (405 nucleotides) under uncultured prokaryote. RNAcentral describes it as "bacterial SSU rRNA". It matches the Rfam family "Bacterial small subunit ribosomal RNA", at positions 355 to 774 of the family's 1533-position model. The record is from RNAcentral.